RNAcentral lists this ribosomal RNA (497 nucleotides) under uncultured bacterium. Its description in RNAcentral is "partial 16S ribosomal RNA". It matches the Rfam family "Bacterial small subunit ribosomal RNA", at positions 28 to 507 of the family's 1533-position model. The record is from RNAcentral.
GACGAACGCUGGCGGCGUGCCUAAUACAUGCAAGUUGAGCGCUGAAGGUUGGUACUUGUACCCACUGGAUGAGCAGCGAACGGGUGAGUAACGCGUGGGGAAUCUGCCUUUGAGCGGGGGACAACAUUUGGAAACGAAUGCUAAUACCGCAUAAAAACUUUAAACACAAGUUUUAAGUUUGAAAGAUGCAAUUGCAUCACUCAAAGAUGAUCCCGCGUUGUAUUAGCUAGUUGGUGAGGUAAAGGCUCACCAAGGCGAUGAUACAUAGCCGACCUGAGAGGGUGAUCGGCCACAUUGGGACUGAGACACGGCCCAAACUCCUACGGGAGGGAGCAGUAGGGAAUCUUCGGAAAUGGACGAAAGUCUGACCGAGCAACGCCGCGUGAGUGAAGAAGGGUUUCGGAUCGUAAAACUCUGUUGGUAGAGAAGAACGUUGGUGAGAGUGGAAAGCUCAUCAAGUGACGGUAACUACCCAGAAAGGGACGGCUAACUACGUG